This 575-nucleotide ribosomal RNA is filed under the name uncultured bacterium. RNAcentral's name for it is "partial 16S ribosomal RNA". It matches the Rfam family "Bacterial small subunit ribosomal RNA", at positions 354 to 919 of the family's 1533-position model. The record is from RNAcentral.
UGGGGGAAUUUUGGACAAUGGGCGAAAGCCUGAUCCAGCAAUGCCGCGUGUGUGAAGAAGGCCUUCGGGUUGUAAAGCACUUUUGUCCGGAAAGAAAUCCUUGGCUCUAAUACAGUCGGGGGAUGACGGUACCGGAAGAAUAAGCACCGGCUAACUACGUGCCAGCAGCCGCGGUAAUACGUAGGGUGCAAGCGUUAAUCGGAAUUACUGGGCGUAAAGCGUGCGCAGGCGGUUUGCUAAGACCGAUGUGAAAUCCCCGGGCUCAACCUGGGAACUGCAUUGGUGACUGGCAGGCUAGAGUAUGGCAGAGGGGGGUAGAAUUCCACGUGUAGCAGUGAAAUGCGUAGAGAUGGUGGAGGAAUACCGAUGGCGAAGGCAGCCCCCUGGGCCAAUACUGACGCUCAUGCACGAAAGCGUGGGGAGCAAAACAGGAUUAGAUACCCUGGUAGUCCACGCCCUAAAACGAUGUCAACUAGUUGUUGGGGAUUCAUUUCCUUAGUAACGUAGCUAACGCGUGAAGUUGACCGCCUGGGGAGUACGGUCGCAAGAUUAAAACUCAAAUGAAUUGACGGGGU